GACCCCGUAGCGCGGUUGGAUGGAGCGCCUGCCUUCUAGGCAGGGGGUCGGCUGUUUGAAUCCGCCCGGGCGCGC
This 75-nucleotide transfer RNA is filed under the name Candidatus Omnitrophica bacterium ADurb.Bin314. Its description in RNAcentral is "tRNA-Arg". The record is from RNAcentral. Lineage: Bacteria; Pseudomonadati; Candidatus Omnitrophota.